ACUACGGGUGGCAGCAGUGAGGAAUAUUGGUCAAUGGGCGGAAGCCUGAACCAGCCAAGUAGCGUGCAGGAUGACGGCCCUACGGGUUGUAAACUGCUUUUAUACGGGAAUAACGCGCCUUACGUGUAGGGCUUUGCAUGUACCGUAUGAAUAAGGACCGGCUAAUUCGGUGCCAGCAGCCGCGGUAAUACGGAAGGUCCGGGCGUUAUCCGGAUUUAUUGGGCUUAAAGGGAGCGUAGGCCGCAUGUCAAGCGUGCUGUGACAUGUCCGGGCUGAACCCGGGCCUUGCAGCGAGAACUGGCGUGCUUGAGUCCGCGGAAAGCAGGCGGAAUUCGUCGUGUAGCGGUGAAAUGCUUAGAUAUGACGAAGAACCCCGAUUGCGAAGGCAGCUUGCUGCAGCGGAACUGACGCUGAUGCUCGAAAGCGCGGGUAUCGAACAGGAUUAGAUACCCCAGUAGUC
Molecule: ribosomal RNA, 460 nt
Filed under: uncultured bacterium
Lineage: Bacteria
Description: partial 16S ribosomal RNA
Rfam family: Bacterial small subunit ribosomal RNA
Source: RNAcentral